AUUGAACGCUGGCGGCAGGCCUAACACAUGCAAGUCGAGCGGAGCGGCGGACGGGUGAGUAAUGCCUAGGAAUCUGCCUGGUAGUGGGGGAUAACGUCCGGAAACGGGCGCUAAUACCGCAUCCUAUCAGAUGAGCCUAGGUCGGGUUAGCUAGUUGGUGGGGUAAAGGCCGACCAAGGCGACGAUCCCUAACUGUUCUGAGAGGAUGAUCAGUCACACGGGAACUGAGACACGGUCCAGACUCCUACGGGAGGCAGCAGUGGGGAAUAUUGGACAAUGGGCGAAAGCCUGAUGCAGCCAUGCCGCGUGUGUGAAGAAGGUCUUCGGAUGGUAAAGCACUUUAAGUUAGGAGGCGUUACCAACAGAAUAAGCACCGGCUAACUUCGUGCCAGCAGCCGCGGUAAUUC
This 407-nucleotide ribosomal RNA is filed under the name uncultured bacterium. RNAcentral describes it as "partial 16S ribosomal RNA". It matches the Rfam family "Bacterial small subunit ribosomal RNA", at positions 30 to 526 of the family's 1533-position model. The record is from RNAcentral.